GACGAACGCUGGCGGCGUGCCUAAUACAUGCAAGUCGAACGAACUCUGGUAUUGAUUGGUGCUUGCAUCAUGAUUUACAUUUGAGUGAGUGGCGAACUGGUGAGUAACACGUGGGAAACCUGCCCAGAAGCGGGGGAUAACACCUGGAAACAGAUGCUAAUACCGCAUAACAACUCGGACCGCUUGGUCCAAGUUUGAAAGAUGGCUUCGGCUAUCACUUUUGGAUGGUCCCGCGGCGUAUUAGCUAGAUGGUGGGGUAACGGCUCACCAUGGCAAUGAUACGUAGCCGACCUGAGAGGGUAAUCGGCCACAUUGGGACUGAGACACGGCCCAAACUCCUACGGGAGGCAGCAGUAGGGAAUCUUCCACAAUGGACGAAAGUCUGAUGGAGCAACGCCGCGUGAGUGAAGAAGGGUUUCGGCUCGUAAAACUCUGUUGUUAAAGAAGAACAUAUCUGAGAGUAACUGUUCAGGUAUUGACGGUAUUUAACCAGAAAGCCACGGCUAACUACGUGCCAGCAGCCGCGGUAAUACGUAGGUGGCAAGCGUUGUCCGGAUUUAUUGGGCGUAAAGCGAGCGCAGGCGGUUUUUUAAGUCUGAUGUGAAAGCCUUCGGCUCAACCGAAGAAGUGCAUCGGAAACUGGGAAACUUGAGUGCAGAAGAGGACAGUGGAACUCCAUGUGUAGCGGUGAAAUGCGUAGAUAUAUGGAAGAACACCAGUGGCGAAGGCGGCUGUCUGGUCUGUAACUGACGCUGAGGCUCGAAAGUAUGGGUAGCAAACAGGAUUAGAUACCCUGGUAGUCCAUACCGUAAACGAUGAAUGCUAAGUGUUGGAGGGUUUCCGCCCUUCAGUGCUGCAGCUAACGCAUUAAGCAUUCCGCCUGGGGAGUACGGCCGCAAGGCUGAAACUCAAAGGAAUUGACGGGGGCCCGCACAAGCGGUGGAGCAUGUGGUUUAAUUCGAAGCUACGCGAAGAACCUUACCAGGUCUUGACAUACUAUGCAAAUCUAAGAGAUUAGACGUUCCCUUCGGGGACAUGGAUACAGGUGGUGCAUGGUUGUCGUCAGCUCGUGUCGUGAGAUGUUGGGUUAAGUCCCGCAACGAGCGCAACCCUUAUUAUCAGUUGCCAGCAUUAAGUUGGGCACUCUGGUGAGACUGCCGGUGACAAACCGGAGGAAGGUGGGGAUGACGUCAAAUCAUCAUGCCCCUUAUGACCUGGGCUACACACGUGCUACAAUGGAUGGUACAACGAGUUGCGAACUCGCGAGAGUAAGCUAAUCUCUUAAAGCCAUUCUCAGUUCGGAUUGUAGGCUGCAACUCGCCUACAUGAAGUCGGAAUCGCUAGUAAUCGCGGAUCAGCAUGCCGCGGUGAAUACGUUCCCGGGCCUUGUACACACCGCCCGUCACACCAUGAGAGUUUGUAACACCCAAAGUCGGUGGGGUAACCUUUUAGGAACCAGCCGCCUAAGGUGGGACAGAUGAUUAGGGUG
Molecule: ribosomal RNA, 1489 nt
Filed under: Lactiplantibacillus plantarum
Lineage: Bacteria; Bacillati; Bacillota; Bacilli; Lactobacillales; Lactobacillaceae
Description: bacterial SSU rRNA
Rfam family: Bacterial small subunit ribosomal RNA
Source: RNAcentral